Canis lupus familiaris (dog) is the source of this 3459-nucleotide long non-coding RNA. RefSeq lists it as uncharacterized. The transcript has 4 exons. Lineage: Eukaryota; Metazoa; Chordata; Mammalia; Carnivora; Canidae. The record is from RefSeq and is a predicted model, not a curated record.
GGGGGGGGCGCGCGGGAGCACUCCAGCCUUCUCUUCAGCUUGCUUAUUGCUGCUGUGGCUGCCCCUCCCAGCAUUCCAACAAGGAUGUCCUCUGGCCCUUGUAUGGUCACCUGACCAAGAAACUGAGUCACGUCGAGGUUGAGAGGUGAGGUAACUUACCCAAAGCCACCAGGCAGCAAGGGCGGAGUUGGAGUUGUACAUAAAGAGACAUGGGAUUUGGCCCUGACCUGCGAUGCACCUCGGUGUCAAAUGUCCUGUGGCUCAAAAAGCAGGUGAACGUGUGCAGCAGCUUAAUCUGAUUAUGCGGGAUCUGUGUAUGGAGUGAACAGGAUGUCUCUUCAGUGCAGGAAACACUAUGGGGUGAUAAGUCGGUAUAGGUGCAUCACUAAGUGGAUAUCUGGUCUGGAUCAAGGUCUGUACCUGUGGAUGUGAGCAUCAGUAUCCUCAUCGUUGUUAUCGUGAUGGACAGUAGUUUAUGGUAUAAAGUUAGGAAACAAAGCAACAGAUGAAAGAAUGUAGAUGACCUCCCCACUCCAGUCUCAUAAUUCAAAAGAUGCAUAGAAAGAAGCCUGGAAGGGAGUACACCACAUUGAGUCAUUUUCCCUAAGUGUGAAACUCUAGACAAUUUUCAAAUAACAUUUUAUUCACUGUUUUAUUUGCUGUGUCUUCACUAUUGUUGCACAGCCAUUGUGUUUCUGCUACAGGUUUUAGGUCGUUUCUCUUGCAUAUCUUGACGUUUCAGGGUAACAGAUUGCUUUUAUAUCCUUGCCAGGUGAAAAACCAAUCAGUACAUUUAGAGCAUAGGAGAGAGCUGUGGUACAGUAAUGAAGCAGUAAUGAAGUGGGGGAAGCAGAGAGGUUUGGAUGGAAGGCUAGCCACGUCUGCAAGUGCAAUGAAAUCGCCCCAGAUGAUGGAGGCCAAAAGCAAACCAAACCGGACAACAACUUCAUGUCCCUAAGAGGAGACAGUUGUGAUAUUGAGAUGAGUAUCUGCAUUAAGAUUUCUCAGGCCUUUGCUCUCUUUGGUUCUUAUGAGGCAGCACUGGUUUGCGUCAUGCUGUGGUUGAGAGUGGCAGCCUCACCUGAAGCAUUCUCCUUUUGUGGACCAGUGGAGUACUUUUCUUGAAGUCUGGAAGCCUACGGAUUCAGAAGAGAGAACAGAAAAUAUAUAGUACAGUAGUUGGAUCCAGCCCUCCUCCGGUAGAUCCCUACAUCGCAAGUGAAAUACAGGCACAGGUGUUGUAGUAGUUGGUUGGAGUUAGCAGGGUUGGGUUGAGUGACUCAAAGAAGAAACACAGAAGUGAGUAAAAGGAGAGAAAACACAUCAAGAGGGGACAAACAACAAAAAGCCUGAUUUCUGGUCUCGCUUUUCUGCUAAGAAAAUAGUGUGCUCUAUUAUUUUGCAGAGAGAGCACUGUAGUCCAAGGUCUGGGAGGGAAUCACUGCACUUGGUGAUGAGCAUUCUGAGGACCCGCCAUCAGCAGUAACAAGGGGACACUGAGUGUGUGAAGGCACAAAGGUCUCAGCCUCUACCGUAGACUCAGAAAGCUUCUUAGCCCUGCCGAGAAUGAUGCUGCUUCACCUUACUACAGAAGCUCAGAGCUGCCAUCUAGCAAAACUCCUGGUGCUCCUCCACCUCCUAAUCCAGCUCAGGGUGGCUGCCUGGGCAUUGCACACUGAUCUGCAUAAGGAUGAUGUCCCUAGACGUGACAGGAAACAGAUAGCUUGGUUACCAUGGGAACGGAAGCUGAGUGAUGCAUUGGACUGUGGGAGAAAAGCAGAGGUGGUCCUGACAUAAAGGCCCUCAGGGGAAGAGAUUUGAGCAACGCACUCAUAUUUGAAAGAAUUCACAAUUUCUACAGGUAACUGUCUUCCCCUUAAUGUUGAGGACAACUAUCCUCUUCCAUCGUUUGCAGCGGGAUGGAACUCUCAUGACAAGACCUAGCGAUCCUGCCCUCUACUACCCAAGGUGUGAACAUGAAGUCCAACUGCAUGCCCACUCCUUGGGAUCUAACACAUGCACCGAAACAGGGUGAGGAGCUGUUUUAUCGUGUCACUGGACGCUUGCUCCUGUUUCCAAGUGCCUCCAGGCACCUCUGUUCAUGUCCUUCAUCCAUUCUCCUUCUCAUUCUUUGUUCUUCUGUUGAUUCUUCCUUCGGUACUCCUGGCUAUAUCCUCUUCGUUAGACACCUAACCCCACAAGGACAAACAGGAUGGGUGAGGAGACAAUAAUUAUAAAGUAUGAGAAGGUGGAAAGCAGACAGAUGAGUGAUGUCUGACUUAACUGACUCAAGAGCAUUUAAUCCUAACCCACCAGUGACGAAAAGUCCAAAGCAAUGGUCUUUAAUCCUCCUCACCAGACCUUCAGUAGUUUGUGAGAUUGGCAGUGGCAUGUUCCCCUGCACUUUAGGGGUAAUGGUAGGGGUUGUAAAUUACAUGAUGGCUCUAAAGUAUAGAUAAGACACAGAUAGACACCCAGAACCCCUCUCGGCAACCUCUGGCGGGGAAAAUUGCUUUCCCCAAACCCUUGGGAGCUUGAGGAAACACUUACUCUCUGAAGGGGAUAAAUGGAUGAUUAAUGGACUUUAAGAUCUCAGCCUCAGGUGAAGGCAGGCCUCCAAACCCAAUAUAGGGAUUUAAGUAAAAAAGCUACAUAACAGUUUAAUUCCUAGCUUCAUUCCCAACUUGUACAAACUGCUGGCAUCUUGCCUUUUCCCAUAGAUGCAGGAGAUCCUUCCCUGAGAAAUCGAACCAUCACAGGAGGAGAGAUUCAAUAAUUAUAGCAGGCACAAGACUCUCGAGUUUUCAUACUAGUCAGUUCAAAAUAGUUUCAAAUUUCAACGUGAUUUCUUCUUAGAGCGCUGGGUAUUCAGGAAGAUAUUUCUUUCUUUACAAACAUAUGAGGGAUUUUUCUAAUGAUUUGGGUUAUUAAUUUACAGUUUAAUGGCAUGGUGGUCAGAGAAUAUACAAAUCACCAAAGAAUCGAUUCUUUAUGUACACUCCUGGGACUCUCCUUAUUAGAAUAUGUUUCUCUAACUUUUCAGUGGAAUACAACACCAAAACGGAAUUGCAUGAAUCAUAAAUGUACCACUCAGUAAAUUAUUAUAUCACAAAUAUCUGAGUAGCUACAAUCCAGGUCAAGAGAUCUGGCAUUGCCAGCAACCAAAAAUCAGCCUUAUGCCUCUACCUAGUCAUUGCUAUGUGCCACCUCAGCAAGUCUAACCAGUAUUUCGACUUUUAACAUUGGAAUUUUGCCUAUUUGUGAACUUCAUUGCAAGUGAUAAAUACAAUCAUUAUAGUACAUAUUCUUGUAAUCUAGCUUUCUUUUGGCAACAUUAUAUUUUUCACUUACUACUCUUCAUUCUUUUGUAGUUUGUUAACUGAGUUCCUGGAUAUUCAUUGCUGAAUAAUAUUUCAACGUGUGUAAAUAUACCACGAUUUUUUGUACAAUCUGUUUCUG